This 753-nucleotide ribosomal RNA is filed under the name uncultured bacterium. RNAcentral's name for it is "bacterial SSU rRNA". It matches the Rfam family "Bacterial small subunit ribosomal RNA", at positions 28 to 776 of the family's 1533-position model. The record is from RNAcentral.
GAUGAACGCUAGCGACAGGCUUAACACAUGCAAGUCGAGGGGUAACAGGGGAGCUUGCUCCCGCUGACGACCGGCGCACGGGUGCGUAACGCGUAUACAACCUGCCUCAAAGCGAGGGAUAACCCAGAGAAGUUUGGACUAAUACCUCAUAGUAUAUAUUAGAGGCAUCUUUGAUAUAUUAAAGAUUUAUUGCUUUGAGAUGGGUAUGCGUAUGAUUAGCUAGUUGGUAAGGUAACGGCUUACCAAGGCUACGAUCAUUAGGGGUUCUGAGAGGAAGGUCCCCCACACUGGUACUGAGACACGGACCAGACUCCUACGGGAGGCAGCAGUGAGGAAUAUUGGUCAAUGGGCGAGAGCCUGAACCAGCCAAGUCGCGUGAAGGAAGACGGUCCUAUGGAUUGUAAACUUCUUUUGUACAGGAGUAAAGUGAGUUACGAGUAACUUUUUGCAGGUACUGUACGAAUAAGCAUCGGCUAACUCCGUGCCAGCAGCCGCGGUAAUACGGAGGAUGCGAGCGUUAUCCGGAUUUAUUGGGUUUAAAGGGUGCGCAGGCGGUAUUACAAGUCAGAGGUGAAAUCUUGGUGCUUAACAUUAAAAUUGCCUUUGAAACUGUAGUACUUGAGUGUAAAAGAGGUAGGCGGAAUGUGUUGUGUAGCGGUGAAAUGCUUAGAUAUAACACAGAACACCGAUUGCGAAGGCAGCUUACUAUAAUACAACUGACGCUCAUGCACGAAAGCGUGGGGAUCAAACAGG